Molecule: ribosomal RNA, 541 nt
Filed under: uncultured crenarchaeote
Lineage: Archaea; Thermoproteati; Thermoproteota
Description: partial 16S ribosomal RNA
Rfam family: Archaeal small subunit ribosomal RNA
Source: RNAcentral
GCCGAUCAGGUAGUUGGGUGGGGGUAAUGGCCCACCAAGCCUAUAACCGGUGCGGGCUCUGAGAGGAGGAGCCCGGAGAUGGGCACUGAGACAAGGGCCCAGGUCCUAUGGGGCGCAGCAGGCGCGAAACCUCCGCAAUGGGCGAAAGCCCGACGGGGUUAGUCCGAGUGGUCCCUGCUGAAGGNNNCNUUUGCNNNCUGUAAAAAGNNNNGCGAAUAAGGGGUGGGCAAGUUUGGUGUCAGCCGCCGCGGUAAUACCAGCACCCCGAGUGGUCGGGACGAUUAUUGGGCCUAAAGCAUCCGUAGCCGGCUUAGCAAGUCUUCCGUUAAAUCCAACGGCUUAACCGUUGUGCUGCGGAGGAUACUGCUAAGCUAGGGGGCGGGAGAGGCGAGGGGUAUUCCCAGGGUAGGGGUAAAAUCCGUUGAUCCUGGGAGGACCACCAGUGGCGAAGGCGCCUCGCUAGAACGCGCCCGACGGUGAGGGAUGAAAGCUGGGGGAGCGAACCGGAUUAGAUACCCGGGUAGUCCCAGCCGUAAACGAU